AAGUAUUAAUUUAAAAUUUGAUGAAUAGGGAGUUUUGAUUUAAUUGAAAUAACAUUAAUUAUGUAUGUUUUAGUAUAGUAAUAGAACAAAUUUAUUUAUUUAUAGUGGAGUAGUACUGUGAAGGGAAAUUGAAAAAAGUUGAAAAUAAAUUUUUAGAAAAGUAAAUUAAUAUUGUACCUUGUGUAUCAGGGUUUAUUAAAAUUGGAAUAGAGAUUUAUUUUUCCCGAAUUAAAAAGAGCUAAUUUGUUAUGUUGGUUAGUGUGGUACUAUUAUCAAGAAUAGCAAGUUUGUAAUGAAAUAUUAGUCGGUUUUUAAGAUAUCUGGUUCUUCAAGAAAUGAAUUUAAUUCAGUAUUUAAUAGUA
RNAcentral lists this ribosomal RNA (362 nucleotides) under Anabrus simplex (Mormon cricket). Its description in RNAcentral is "partial large subunit ribosomal RNA". Lineage: Eukaryota; Metazoa; Arthropoda; Insecta; Orthoptera; Tettigoniidae. The record is from RNAcentral.